Molecule: ribosomal RNA, 253 nt
Filed under: uncultured bacterium
Lineage: Bacteria
Description: partial 16S ribosomal RNA
Rfam family: Bacterial small subunit ribosomal RNA
Source: RNAcentral
UACAGAGACUGCAAGCGUUAUUCGGAUUCACUGGGCGUAAAGAGCGCGCAGGCGGUCGAUCAAGUCGCGUGUGAAAGCCCCCGGCUCAACUGGGGAGGGUCACGCGAUACUGAUCGACUCGAAGGCAGGAGAGGGUAGUGGAAUUCCCGGUGUAGUGGUGAAAUGCGUAGAUAUCGGGAGGAACACCAGUGGCGAAGGCGACUACCUGGCCUGUUCUUGACGCUGAGGCGCGAAAGCUAGGGGAGCAAACGGG